UCCAAACUUGAGCGGGGCAGGAGCCGUGGCCACGCUCCUUCUCCAAAUGUCCCCACCGAAACCACACUUGAGAACUUUAGAUUGUGUGGGUUGGGGGAAGCGGGUGCGGAGCGCCGAUCUCAGAGACAAAUCCGCACAGUGGGUGUCCUAGGAAAACCCUGGAGAAAGGGGAGGGCCUACAGGCAAGCGUCGGGCUCUGUCGUGGUUUCCUCCGGAGCUGUGGCUGGAUUUUCCCGGUGACAUUUCUCCUCUCUCUACAUCUGGGGUUCUGGGUUUCAAACGCGCUCUGGUAACCCAGUUGCAUUCUGUAAACAAAAGGAGCCCCAAAUGUGCAUACAGGAGUAUUGGAAAGCAGCCGGCCCGAGUGGAGAGGCUCCCCGGGGCCAGGCUGAGAGAAGGGAGGGCGGAGAACUCAGGACUAAGGUUCCUGAAACCCUCCGGGGCAUCCGAUCGUGAGCGCCGGCCCGGUCCAGCCACCUGGGGGCGCCGCUGACCCCAAAGUCUCUGGAGCUUACCUUGCACAGAGCAGGACUUACCUACUCUGAGCUAAGAAUGACCCCGUGCUAACCGAGGUGACCCUGCCCCACCUCGGGCUUGACCCGGCGCUUCAGGCUGGCUCUGUAAGCCGGAAUGACUUUGCUCCAAAGCACGUGACCUGCGCUAAAAAGGGUGGACCCUCUCGCUACCAUGGUGAUCGGCGCUCUGAGAGGGCCUGACCUGGCGCUAACAGGGAUGACCUGAGCAGAUCCCGCGCUGAGAUGUGCUUGAGUUACCCGACUGCUGCGUGCCCUGGUUCUCAAGGCUCACCUUGCCCAUAUUAGACGCUGAGCUUCUCCUGGCUCUUGCACUCUAGCGAGUCUGCCCCGCCCCACUCCCAGAUUGGCCUCUGGGGUACACCUUUCCCUUCCGGGCCUUCCCGGAAGUUCUGGGACACCUGGUUGGAGAGAAGGCUAUCUGGCCAGGCACACCCUACAGCUCCAGGAGAAAGGAGUCUGCGACCUUAAGAAGGUGGCUGGAUGUGAGGAGGGGGUCUUCAAGAGACUGCUGGUAAUUGAAACAGUGGAAAGCCAAAUGAAGAUAAGGACAGACUACUUCCCAGAAACCUAGAGGAAAAUAUACAUUAGUGGGAAAUCCACCCUGGCCUGGAAAUAGUUCAAAGAAGGGAAAUAGAGGCCCCCAGGGUAGAUUCCACUGGGGAUGCGCCUUCUUUUGGAAUGGAGCCACGUGGGAUGCAUGGAGGUGCAUGACAGAGGCUCCCACAGAUGUGUGCAGAAGGCGGAGGAGUAAGUUCUCACUUGCUGAAGCUCCACUGUGGGCAAAGACACCUGGAUCACUGAUCGGAACGAGACUUGAACCAGACAGCACCAGCACACAGUGGGUGCUUAGUGAGUAAAUGUUGAAAGUCUGAAUAAAUGGCCCUCCUGCCCUG
Long non-coding RNA from Heterocephalus glaber (naked mole-rat), 1429 nucleotides. RefSeq lists it as uncharacterized. The record is from RefSeq and is a predicted model, not a curated record. NCBI's taxonomy places the organism in Eukaryota, Metazoa, Chordata, Mammalia, Rodentia, Bathyergidae.